AUACGGAGGGUACAAGCGUUACUCGGAAUUACUGGGCGUAAAGCGUACGUAGGCGGACUGGAAAGUUGGGGGUGAAAUCCCGGGGCUCAACCCCGGAACUGCCUCCAAAACUUCCAAUCUAGAGAGCGAGGGAGGUGAGUGGAAUUCCAAGUGUAGAGGUGAAAUUCGUAGAUAUUUGGAGGAACACCAGUGGCGAAGGCGGCUCACUGGCUCGAUACUGACGCUGAGGUACGAAAGCGUGGGGAGCAAACAGGAUUAGAAACCCUAGUAGUCC
RNAcentral lists this ribosomal RNA (274 nucleotides) under uncultured bacterium. RNAcentral's name for it is "partial 16S ribosomal RNA". It matches the Rfam family "Bacterial small subunit ribosomal RNA", at positions 523 to 796 of the family's 1533-position model. The record is from RNAcentral.